RNAcentral lists this ribosomal RNA (921 nucleotides) under Foraminifera environmental sample. RNAcentral describes it as "SSU rRNA". It matches the Rfam family "Eukaryotic small subunit ribosomal RNA", at positions 1160 to 1678 of the family's 1831-position model. Lineage: Eukaryota; Foraminifera. The record is from RNAcentral.
AAGGGCACCACAAGAACGCGUGGAGCAUGUGGCUUAAUUUGACUCAACGCGGGAAAUCUUACCGGGUCCGGACACACUGAGGAUUGACAGGUUUCAAUACCAUUACUUUGUUAAUGUUAUUAUAAAUAUGCUAGUCCUUUCAUGAUUAUGUGAUAGGUGGUGCAUGGCCGUUCUUAGUUCGUGGAGUGAUCUGUCUGCUUAAUUGCGUUUCACAUAGAGUCUAUAUUAUAAUGUAUGUUGCGGCUUUUCUUAGACCCCUUCAUUUCGGUGAAGCGCGUGUCUUUGAUUAUUAGUUUAGCUCAUACUUUUUAGACUCUGAAAGCAACGAACGUGACCGCAACCUCUUGUUGCCUUUAUACCAAAUGCAUUCAUUUGUCUUUAUGGCUAUGAUGUAUAAAAAGGCCAUAUGGCAUUCACUCUUCAACGAGUAUGGUGUCAAAACUAGAGGGACCGCUGUUACUUUCUUAAACCAGAGGAAGGUUGCGGCAAUAACAGGUCUGUGAUGCCCUUAGAUGUUCCGGGCUGCACACGUGCUACAAUGAUUAUUGCAGUGAGCAUCUCAUUUUUUUUACACACCGCAUGCGUGAGUCUAUUUGUGCACUUACCUAUGGUAUGUUUGCUACAAAUAUGUAUCUCUACGCGCGGUAAAGCCUGCUUCGAAAGUAAGUGGGUAAUCAAUUAGAAGUAAUGAUUUCCCUCAAUUUUAGCACAAAUAUAUACGGCGUCAUUACCCGACUUGGCCUUGUUGCCUUGUUCUGUGCGUAAAGAUGUUUUCUUCCGUAUGUGCAAUUGUCAAUUCACGGUGGGGACAGACCAUUGUUAAUUGUUGGUCUCGGUCUUAACUAGGAAUGCCUUGUACUGGUCUUUGGUUCAACAAACCACCAGGAAUACGUCCCUGCCCUUUGUACACACCGCCCGUCA